GCGUCAUUAGCUCAGUUGGUAGAGCAUAACCUUGCCAAGGUUAGGGUCGCGAGUUCGAGUCUCGUUUCCCGCUCCA
RNAcentral lists this transfer RNA (76 nucleotides) under Fusobacterium animalis. It matches the Rfam family "tRNA". Rfam says of the family: Transfer RNA (tRNA) molecules are approximately 80 nucleotides in length. Their secondary structure includes four short double-helical elements and three loops (D, anti-codon, and T loops). Lineage: Bacteria; Fusobacteriati; Fusobacteriota; Fusobacteriia; Fusobacteriales; Fusobacteriaceae. The record is from RNAcentral.